RNAcentral lists this ribosomal RNA (504 nucleotides) under Triticum aestivum (bread wheat). Its description in RNAcentral is "partial small subunit ribosomal RNA". Lineage: Eukaryota; Viridiplantae; Streptophyta; Magnoliopsida; Poales; Poaceae. The record is from RNAcentral.
AUGUUUAAUGACGAUAUAUUUAGUCUCCCAAGUUUUGAUAUGCAAAUUUAUAAUGAUGAUAGCAUGCCUCCUACCUAUGAUGAUUAUUGUGAUGAUACUUAUGCUAUAAAAAGUAGUGAUUAUAUUUAUAAAACUUGUCCUCCCACUAUUCCGAAUGAGAAGAAUUUUGCUUAUGUGGAGAGUAAUAAAAAUUCUAUGCUUAUGCAUCAUGAAAAUAAUGAUUUAGGUGCUGGUUAUAUUUUUGAAUUCAUUCAUGAUGCCACUGAAAAUUAUUAUGAGGGAGGAACAUAUGCUUGUAGGAAUUGCAAUAAUAUCAAGUUUCCUCUCUAUGUGUUGAAAAUCUUGAAGUUAUGCUUGUUUUGCUUUCCUAUGCUAGUUGAUCAUUGUUCCCAUAAAUUGUUUGCUCAAAAAAUCCCUAUGCAUAGGAAAUGGGUUAGACUUCAAUGUGUUAGCAAUAUGCUUCAUGAUGCUCUCUUUAUGUUUCAAUUCUUAUCUUUUAUGUGA